GCCUGAAAGAGAAAAAGUCAAGUCAGAAGCCUGGUCAUUCUGUCUCUUUGUUCAGUAAAUCACUUCUCUUCCCACAAGAUGGUUAGUUAUGACUGUCCUAUCACCUGGGAUUCAAAUAGGCAUAGGAAAAAUAAAAAGGAAAUAGAAGGGAUUUGGGAAGAUUCACAAGCCCAAUGCUUCUGAAAAGAAGGGGUUAGAAAUAAAUGUUCCUGUAAUCCCUGUUACUUACCAUAGCCCAGCCCUGAAGGGGGAGGGGCUGGGGCCACAGCACCACUGAUCUGCAUUCCUGCCAGCUGAGCAGUCACCUGUGCACUUGUUGG
This is a long non-coding RNA of Perognathus longimembris pacificus (Pacific pocket mouse), 320 nucleotides long. RefSeq lists it as uncharacterized. The record is from RefSeq and is a predicted model, not a curated record. The transcript is spliced from 3 exons. NCBI's taxonomy places the organism in Eukaryota, Metazoa, Chordata, Mammalia, Rodentia, Heteromyidae.